CGGCGGCAGCGGGGCCGUACGGGAGCCGCGAAGUGCCGAGGGGGGGGGAGGGGUGUCAGCGGGUCUUGUCGCGGGCAGCGAUGCGGCUCCGCCACCGCCCGGCCUCGCCGCAUCCGCCUCCCGCCGGGCACCGGUGACAGUCACACCUUUUCCCCCGUCCCGGCAGUAUGAGACCCGCCGAGCCUCCCAGUCAGCGCCGCGCUCCGGAGAAUUACUGAAGUCUGGAUUGCUAUCUUGAUACUAUAAACCUGCAAUAAGUGGCAAUGUCAAGGGUUCCUACCCCACCUCCUCCUGGGGAGAUGUCCAGUGGACCUGUGGCUGAAAGCUGGUGCUACACACAGGUUAAAGUAGUAAAAUUUUCCUACAUGUGGACCAUUAAUAACUUCAGUUUUUGCCGAGAAGAAAUGGGUGAAGUUUUAAAGAGUUCUACCUUUUCAUCAGGGCCAAAUGACAAAAUGAAGUGGUGCCUGAGAGUAAAUCCAAAGGGAUUAGAUGAUGAAAGCAAAGACUACCUGUCAUUAUAUCUGCUUUUAGUCAGUUGUCCAAAAAGUGAAGUCAGAGCAAAAUUCAAAUUUUCCCUGUUGAAUGCUAAAAGAGAAGAAACAAAAGCAAUGGAAAGCCAAAGAGCAUAUCGAUUUGUGCAAGGCAAGGACUGGGGUUUUAAGAAAUUUAUCCGAAGAGAUUUUUUACUGGAUGAAGCCAAUGGUCUUCUACCAGAUGACAAGCUUACAUUAUUUUGUGAGGUAAGCGUGGUCCAAGACUCAGUAAAUAUAUCAGGACAGUCUAAUACAAACACUUUGAAGGUACCUGAAUGUCGACUAGCAGAAGAUUUAGGGAAUCUCUGGGAAACAACAAGAUUUACAGAUUGCAGUUUUUAUGUAGGAGGACAAGAAUUCAAAGCUCAUAAAUCUGUUCUUGCAGCACGAUCUCCAGUUUUUAAUGCAAUGUUUGAACAUGAAAUGGAGGAAAGUAAAAAGAAUCGUGUAGAGAUAAAUGAUGUAGAGCCUGAAGUUUUUAAGGAAAUGAUGAGGUUUAUUUACACAGGAAAAGCACCAAACCUCGAAAAAAUGGCUGACAAUUUGUUAGCAGCUGCAGACAAAUAUGCACUGGAACGGCUGAAGGUCAUGUGUGAGGAAGCACUCUGUAGUAACCUCUCGGUAGAAAAUGUUGCUGACAUUCUUAUCCUCGCAGAUUUGCACAGCGCUGAACAGUUAAAAGCACAAGCAAUAGACUUCAUUAACAGGUGCAGUGUUCUUAGACAACUUGGGUGUAAAGAUGGGAAAAACUGGAAUAGCAAGUAAGUUUUCCUGCCUCACGAUGUUCUGUACAAACACUGCUAAAUAGACUGCAGAUCUUAAGAACUGUUGCUUCAUGUCCACACUACUGAGGCCAGUCACUGACUCCAAGCAACAGACAUAAUGGAAACAGCGGGCUGGAAGUCCAUGAUCCACUCCCACCCUCACUUAGUAGCAGAGGCCUUUCGCGCACUAGCAUCUGCACAGUGUCCACAGUUUGGCAUUCCACGCAAACGGCUAAAACAGUCAUGAAAUCUUCCAUGAACUCUAGAGAAACUGAAUUGACUCUACUCCAUGUCCAGAGGUGUUUUCACAAACCAUAAAAAGAGUUUUUGUUAUCCUUGUCCACAGAACAGAAGCUGAAAAAGCCUAUUGUUUGCUUUUCAGAUGGAUAAUUUAUGGUUUAAUCCUCAGCUUUAAAUUAGACUGAUUAAUUCACUGAAAGGCCUUAAAUUAUCUUCAAUGACUCUAGUCCAUAUAGCCUAAUGUAUCUUGAUUUUUUUUAUUAUUAUUAUUAUUUUUUAAUGUGCCUUGUCUUUUUGACUAGGCUCUGCAGGAUUGCACUAGCGCCAUAAUGCAGUAAAGUUGAUAACUGAAGAUUAAUUUUUGAAAGGGAUCUUCCAUUAUUUUCAGAAGAAAAAAAAAGAUUAUAGUUUGGUCCUGUGCUAAACUGGAAGGUUUUAACUAGCCUCUCAUUAAAAGCACUUGAAUCAGAGGCACAUAACGUACCCUAGGCAAGUGUUAAAUAUGGGGAGAGCCUGUUUACCUUCAGCAAAUGCUUACAGGCUAUUUAUGGCAAUAGACUGCUUUUAACAUAAUUUACUUUUCAUUGUGGGGGCAAAUAUGCAACGGUUUGGCCCAAAAAUGUAUUUUCAUUACAGUUUGUAAUGCUUAUUGUGUGUGUGUCAAAGCUGUCCAAAUGGUAAAAAGAAACACAGAAUAAACCUCUUGCUUGUGUUUCUUUACGGUCCAUCAUUAGUUUACAUUUAAUGCAGAACUGAACAGAGGUAAAGAUUGUUCAAUGUGAAAACAGAAUAGUAUUGUAUAUGGAAAAAAUAUAUCCCAUGUGUAUGGUUACAUAGGAAAGUAAAGGAUGCAUAGAAUGACCAAAUGUAAAUUGAAGAAAUGGGCCAAAUGGAUUCUGAAUAUGCACUUUUCAUGUGUAACUUUUGUAUGUUGUGUGGUACAUAUAUAUUUUGCUUUUGAUGAAUUAAUGAGGUACAGGUAAUUGUGGCUUAACUUUUUAGAUACAAUUUAAGAUGCCCACAGCCACAUGGGAUUUAGUUUUGUUAGAAAAGAAAGGCAUGUCUUUUUAAGACUCAAUUGAAGGUGGCUAUUGCAAGCUUUCAUAUUUAAGUAACAGAAUAUUUUUGCUUAUUUGAAAAUGGCAUGUGAAUCACAAAGUUUUGAAGGGUUUUUUCCUCAUCUUGACCUAUGUGCACAGCUUUCAUUAACACCUAAGAAGGUUAUGUACACAUCGAGAGGAAUAUUUCCCUGAAAUGUCAGAUGGAGUUUGCAAGCAAAGACUUGCUCAGUCUUGCAUUUCAGUUAUUGUACUAGCAUUGUGGAUGGUAUUGAAAUUCUGCAUAAUGUGAAAAGGAUGAAACAUUUAUAAACUGCUUGUCAUGGGCCAGUUCUUUAUGAUGCGAACCUUAGCUUUAAUAUCAACAUCCUCAGUGUUUGAUAGCAUUGUUUACAAUUGGGAGGAAAAGUCUGCAGUAGUGCACACUCUAAAUGUUUCCUGAGUUAUUGCGUUGAGUUUACUGUAAUAGUGAUAAUAUGCUAUACUUUUGGGGGAAGACUUGGAUUAGCAAUGGGGAAUGGGAGGAGAUCUCACCUAAUUUAUGAACAUAUUUGCAUAAGGGGGUUAGUUUGCCUAUUAAAAAAAAUCAUGCAGGGAGGAGAGAGGAAGAAUUUCAGAUUGUUUACUAUCUUAAAAUCUAUCUCCAUCCUCAUUUCAUUAGGAUUCAUCUGAAUUGCUCUGAAGGAAAUUUUUAGAGGAAAGAGUAUAUAGUUUUAUACUUUGGCAUUUAAGAUACCACUAGCAUAGGUAAAUUGGAAAAAAUGCUCAGUUCCAUUUUGAACAGUAAAAUAACCUCUAAAGAUGCAUUUUCUUCUUAUCUUCUGACUAAAUCUUUAUGAUGGAUAAAGUGUAAAAUCAGAAACUUUAAUAGAACAUAAGGCAUCAAAUUAUAUAUUUGCAGAGAUUUAUCCUUUUAUCAAUUUAAAAAUAUUUAUCUAAAAUAAGAUCUCAUAAGCAUUCUUCACAAUAAGACAAAACUAAUUGUUCUCUCCAAAACAGUGAUGUUUUUGCUGCAUUGUGUAAUGCGUUAGGACUAUAUAUCCUCAGACUCAUCACUGGUAAAACUUGCAGCUCUAACAUACAAAGUGACUUGAAUAUUUAAUGCUGUAAUGAUUGUCCAGUUCAGCUUACUGAAAAAUACCAAUGUACAGUAAUCAAAUGGAAAGCUUAAGGACUUUUUAUGAAAUUUUUUUUUUUUAAUAGAAGCUUAAUAGCACACUUUGUACCAAAAAAAUGUCAGACACUAUGCUGUAAUAUUACCUACAUUGUAGAGUGUCCACUUUUCAAGUCAGACAAUGUGUAUCAUAUGUUACACUAACAGGAAAAAAAACCAAACAGCCCACAUGGUGAUUGAUCUGUUUAGAUAUAAUUUCAUUAUGUAUGUUUUGAAGUUUUGUCAGCUCUUGCGAAAAAAGUGAAACAGUUGCUGUAUUACUGAGUGCACUAAUUAUUCACCUCUUAUUCUUUAAUUAGCUACAUGCAGUGUUCUCACUGGAGCAGGGCUGGCUGGUAAUUACAACUUUCUCCUUUGGAGUCAGUAGCUUGUUUUUAUUCCCCACAUCUCAAGAGCUUGCCCUUCAAAACCUCAGUUGUCAGUUCUAAGUGCAGCAGGUAUGAAACUAUCUGAUACAAAUGGACAGGUUUUUUUUGAGGCUGAAAUCUUAAGGGUCUUUCUUAGUUUUAUAUGUGUUAGGAAUAUAAUGUAUGAAGGUGCCAUGUUUUGGCUUGCCAACACUACUCCCUCAGAUAGAUGUGAACCAUUGCUUCCAUAUUUCUCUGGGGAGAACCCUGCAUGUGUCCUGUGUGUGUGUGCGUGUGUGUGUAUGACUGUGCGGUGUUUUUUUGUCAAGAAUGACUUUCUAAAAAUAAGGACUCAAGUUGCUGUUAAAAUGCUAUGAUGUAUUAUAUAUAUAUUUUUUUUUUCAUUUGAACCUCUCCUAAGGAGAUACUUUGGGUGGGAGAUGCUUCAAUAAAUGAUCCUUAUUUCUGAGUCCGUUUACUGCAUGCAGAAGUAUGAACACAUUGUGCCUUUUUAGGAAACCGUUGUAAUGAAGGGAAUAUUUAACAGGACACAAGAUCUUUUUUUGAAAGGUAAUCGUAAAGGUGGAGUAUGCUAUUUGAUAUACAAUUGGGAUGCAAAAGUUACAAAUUGUCCAUUUAGGCUCUGUUGCAUGUUGAUUCUUUCUACCUAAAUUCAUUUUCACUGAGGUAGAAACUACACAAAAAAAGUGGAUUAAGUAUUAUAGAUACAAGUUGAGUAAUGGUAUAUUUUUGUGAAAAUGUGAAAAUACUUGCUGUUACAAGAUAAGUGUAUGUCAAAAUGUGAUCAUCAUGGACACAAAGUUAGCUUCACAAGUUACUCUAGUCUGAUGUUUUUCUAAACAUGGGGUAUAAAAUCCACCUUUGCACAGAUGGUCAGUAGAAGACCUACAUGGAGGUUAUGUUCCUUUUAAAUCCUUAUAGUAAGGUUUCUCCCUUGGGAGACUAAAACAAUGUGCAGUAUUUGAAACUGUGUUUCAUGAAAGACAGCAAAUGUGAAAUAUUGCUACCUGAAAUGCUGUUCAAUUUCAUUGGAUUUUACAGUUGAUUAAAAUGUCUGAGUUUAAUGGAUUUACUUUUUGUAAUUGACAAAUGGAAUGUUAACUGUCUGCUGUCUGGUGUUGAUAGUGCAUUUAGUGCAGAGCUUAGCUCCUUAGCUAGCAAGACACUGACUUAGUCUCAUAACUUGGCUUCUGCUUACAGUAAAUGGACUACAUUUGUAAAGGGAAUUCACUCUUUCAAGUGUUUUGCAAGGAACUUCACUGUAUUUGUAACCUGGUUUUUGAAGGCUUAAGAUCAAUGAGUCCUAUUUUAGAAAUUAAACCAGUGAAAUGACUUAGACCUGUUUUGGGGUGGAAAUGAUUAAAAGAAUUCAGAUAUGUAAACAGUUGUAUCAAACCAUCCAGCCUUUUUUUUAUCAGCUGAUGUUAAUGGUGAAAUACUUUUUGUACCUUGUUGCUGAAAAUAUUUUUGCAUUUCAGCACAUCAAGUUACAAUAAAGUUGUUACUUAUACAGAA
This is an RNA transcript of Melopsittacus undulatus (budgerigar), 5655 nucleotides long. It is a transcript of the gene named speckle type BTB/POZ protein like, with no coding region annotated. The record is from RefSeq and is a predicted model, not a curated record. The transcript has 11 exons. NCBI's taxonomy places the organism in Eukaryota, Metazoa, Chordata, Aves, Psittaciformes, Psittaculidae.